GACGAACGCUGGCGGCGUGCCUAAUACAUGCAAGUCGAGCGAUGAAGCUUGGUGCUUGCACCACUUUGAAGAGCAGCGAACGGGUGAGUAACGCGUGGGGAAUCUGCCUUUGAGCGGGGGACAACAUCUGGAAACGAAUGCUAAUACCGCAUAACAACUUUAAACAUAUGUUUUACUCUUGAAAGAUGCAAUUGCAUCACUCUAAGAUGAUCUCGCGUUGUAUUAGCUAGUUGGUGAGGUAACGGCUCACCAAAGCGAUGAUACAUAGCCGACCUGGAGAGGUGGAUCGCCAACAUUGGACCGAGGCACCGGCCCAAACCCCUACGGGAGCAGCAGUAGGGGAAUUUCCGGAAUGGGCGAAAGUCUGGCCGGAGAAAGCCGCGGGGGGGAAGAAGGGUUUCGGAUCGGAAAACUUUGUUGAUAAGGAAGAACGUUGGUGGGAGUGGAAAACUCAUCAAGUGACGGUAACUACCCAGAAAGCGACGGCUAACUACGUG
This 497-nucleotide ribosomal RNA is filed under the name uncultured bacterium. RNAcentral describes it as "partial 16S ribosomal RNA". It matches the Rfam family "Bacterial small subunit ribosomal RNA", at positions 28 to 507 of the family's 1533-position model. The record is from RNAcentral.